UUCCACUUGUUUAUAGAUAAGUGGUAUUACCUGCCCUAUGCUUUUUCUAAGUAAAUGGCCGCAGUAUACUUAACUGUGCUAAGGUAGCAUAAUUACUUGUCAUUUAAUUAAUGUCUUGUUUGAAUGGUUUUUCGAGAUUAGAUUUUUUUUAACUUUUUUUUGAAUUUUUAAUUUUAAGUAAAAAUACUUAAAUUAAAAAGAAAGACGAGAAGACCCUAAGAGCUUUUUAUACUAGCUUAAAAGUAUAUUAGAUGGGGCAUUAGAGAUUAUUUUAAUCUUUUUUAGAACUUUUUUGAAUAAAAGGUAAAGUUACCCUAGGGAUAACAGGGUAAUUCUUUUUGAAAGUUCUUAUUUAGAAAAGAGUUUGCUACCUCGAUGUUGAAUCAAAAUUACUUUGUGGUUGCAGGGGCUAUAAGAGUGUGUCUGUUCGACACUUUAAAUUUUACG
Molecule: ribosomal RNA, 447 nt
Filed under: Prorhynchus haswelli
Lineage: Eukaryota; Metazoa; Platyhelminthes; Prorhynchida; Prorhynchidae
Description: Hofstenioplesia haswelli partial 16S ribosomal RNA
Rfam family: Bacterial large subunit ribosomal RNA
Source: RNAcentral